This 426-nucleotide ribosomal RNA is filed under the name uncultured Actinomycetes bacterium. RNAcentral describes it as "bacterial SSU rRNA". It matches the Rfam family "Bacterial small subunit ribosomal RNA", at positions 958 to 1385 of the family's 1533-position model. The record is from RNAcentral. Lineage: Bacteria; Bacillati; Actinomycetota; Actinomycetes.
AACGCGAAGAACCUUACCAAGGUUUGACAUGCAGGGAAAAGCCGUAGAGAUACGGUGUCCGUAAGGGUCCUGCACAGGUGGUGCAUGGCUGUCGUCAGCUCGUGUCGUGAGAUGUUGGGUUAAGUCCCGCAACGAGCGCAACCCUCGUCCUAUGUUGCCAGCGGAUAAUGCCGGGGACUCAUAGGAGACUGCCGGGGUCAACUCGGAGGAAGGUGGGGAUGACGUCAAGUCCUCAUGCCCCUUAUGUCUUGGGCUGCAAACAUGCUACAAUGGCCAGUACAAAGGGUUGCGAGACCGCAAGGUGGAGCGAAUCCCAAAAAGCUGGUCUCAGUUCGGAUUGGGGUCUGCAACUCGACCCCAUGAAGUCGGAGUCGCUAGUAAUCGCAGAUCAGCAACGCUGCGGUGAAUACGUUCCCGGGCCUUGUA